CGGUGGAUCUGUUACCUCGGUAUGCAAACUGGUAGGGGUCCAGGGUGGCGGGGAGGGUGGAUUUGAUGUGGGCCAUGACUAACCUUUCAAAGCACUUCAUGGCGAUGGGGGUCAGUGCAACGGUCCUUCAGCACACGGCCAGGAAUGUUGUCUGGACCUGCAGCCUUGCGGGUGUUGAUCUUGGAGAAGGUUCUCUUCACGCUGGCUGCAGUCAGGCACAGGGUCUGGUCGUGGGGAGGGGGGGUGGUCUUCUGUGGGGGCGUGCUGUUGUGUGCUUCAAACCUGGCAAAGAAGCUGUUGAGGUCGUUCAGCAGAGAGGUGUUGCUGUCACAGGUCUGUGGCUUGGGUUUGUAGUCCGUGAUGGUCUGGAUACCACGCCACAGGCUCUGCGCGUCUCUGCUGUCCUUGAAGUGUCCGGUUAU
This is a long non-coding RNA of Labrus mixtus (cuckoo wrasse), 422 nucleotides long. RefSeq lists it as uncharacterized. NCBI's taxonomy places the organism in Eukaryota, Metazoa, Chordata, Actinopteri, Labriformes, Labridae. The transcript has 2 exons. The record is from RefSeq and is a predicted model, not a curated record.